Molecule: ribosomal RNA, 559 nt
Filed under: uncultured bacterium
Lineage: Bacteria
Description: bacterial SSU rRNA
Rfam family: Bacterial small subunit ribosomal RNA
Source: RNAcentral
CCUACGGGAGGCAGCAGUGGGGAAUCUUGCGCAAUGGGCGAAAGCCUGACGCAGCCAUGCCGCGUGAAUGAUGAAGGUCUUAGGAUUGUAAAAUUCUUUCACCGGGGACGAUAAUGACGGUACCCGGAGAAGAAGCCCCGGCUAACUUCGUGCCAGCAGCCGCGGUAAUACGAAGGGGGCUAGCGUUGCUCGGAAUUACUGGGCGUAAAGGGAGCGUAGGCGGAUAGUUUAGUCAGAGGUGAAAGCCCAGGGCUCAACCUUGGAAUUGCCUUUGAUACUGGCUAUCUUGAGUACGGAAGAGGUAUGUGGAACUCCGAGUGUAGAGGUGAAAUUCGUAGAUAUUCGGAAGAACACCAGUGGCGAAGGCGACAUACUGGUCCGUUACUGACGCUGAGGCUCGAAAGCGUGGGGAGCAAACAGGAUUAGAUACCCUGGUAGUCCACGCUGUAAACGAUGAGUGCUAGUUGUCGGCAUGCAUGCAUGUCGGUGACGCAGUUAACGCAUUAAGCACUCCGCCUGGGGAGUACGGUCGCAAGAUAAACUACAACGAAGUAGACGG